RNAcentral lists this ribosomal RNA (373 nucleotides) under uncultured organism. RNAcentral's name for it is "partial 16S ribosomal RNA". It matches the Rfam family "Bacterial small subunit ribosomal RNA", at positions 528 to 896 of the family's 1533-position model. The record is from RNAcentral.
GGGGGGGCAAGCGUUGUUCGGAAUUACUGGGCGUAAAGGGCGCGUAGGCGGCCAGGCAAGUCCUUCGUGAAAUCCCACAGCUCAACUGUGGAACUGCGGAGGAAACUUCUUGGCUUGGGUCCGGGAGAGGGGAGUGGAAUUCCCAGUGUAGCGGUGAAAUGCGUAGAUAUUGGGAGGAACACCGGUGGCGAAGGCGGCUCCCUGGACCGGUACUGACGCUGAGGCGCGAAAGCUAGGGGAGCAAACGGGAUUAGAUACCCCGGUAGUCCUAGCUGUAAACGUUGAGCACUUGGUGUGGCGGGUGUCGACCCCCUGCCCGUGCCCGUAGCUAACGCAUUAAGUGCUCCGCCUGGGGAGUACGGUCGCAAGGCUG